AUUCCUACGGGAGGCAGCAGUAGGGAAUCUUGGACAAUGGGCGCAAGCCUGAUCCAGCCAUGCCGCGUGAGUGAAGAAGGCCUUAGGGUCGUAAAGCUCUUUCGCCUGUGAUGAUAAUGACAGUAGCAGGUAAAGAAACCCCGGCUAACUCCGUGCCAGCAGCCGCGGUAAUACGGAGGGGGUUAGCGUUGUUCGGAAUUACUGGGCGUAAAGCGCGCGUAGGCGGAUUGGAAAGUUAGAGGUGAAAUCCCGGGGCUCAACCCCGGAACGGCCUUUAAAACUCCCAGUCUAGAGUUCGAGAGAGGUGAGUGGAAUUCCAAGUGUAGAGGUGAAAUUCGUAGAUAUUUGGAGGAACACCAGUGGCGAAGGCGGCUCACUGGCUCGAUACUGACGCUGAGGUGCGAAAGUGUGGGGAGCAAACAGGAUUAGAUACCCUGGUAGUCCACACCGUAGACGAUGAAUGCCAGUCGUCGGAUAGUAUACUAUUCGGUGACACACCUAACGGAUUAAGCAUUCCGCCUGGGGAGUACGGUCGCAAGAUUAAAACUCAAAGGAAU
Molecule: ribosomal RNA, 557 nt
Filed under: uncultured bacterium
Lineage: Bacteria
Description: bacterial SSU rRNA
Rfam family: Bacterial small subunit ribosomal RNA
Source: RNAcentral